AUACGUAGGGUGCAAGCGUUAAUCGGAAUUACUGGGCGUAAAGCGUGCGCAGGCGGUUUUGUAAGACAGGGGUGAAAUCCCCGGGCUCAACCUGGGAACUGCCAUUGUGACUGCAAGGCUGGAGUGCGGCAGAGGGGGAUGGAAUUCCGCGUGUAGCAGUGAAAUGCGUAGAUAUGCAGAGGAACACCGAUGGCGAAGGCAAUCCCCUGGGCCUGCACUGACGCUCAUGCACGAAAGCGUGGGGAGCAAACAGGAUUAGAUACCCUGGUAGUCCACGCCCUAAACGAUGUCAACUGGUUGUUGGGGAUUUAUUUUCUCAGUAACGAAGCUAACGCGUGAAGUUGACCGCCUGGGGAGUACGGCCGCAAGGUUAAAACUCAAAUGAAUUGACGGGG
RNAcentral lists this ribosomal RNA (395 nucleotides) under uncultured bacterium. Its description in RNAcentral is "partial 16S ribosomal RNA". It matches the Rfam family "Bacterial small subunit ribosomal RNA", at positions 523 to 918 of the family's 1533-position model. The record is from RNAcentral.